Molecule: transfer RNA, 65 nt
Filed under: Chaetosiphon fragaefolii
Lineage: Eukaryota; Metazoa; Arthropoda; Insecta; Hemiptera; Aphididae
Description: tRNA-Gly
Source: RNAcentral
AUUUUAUUAAUAUAAAUAGUAUAUUUGAUUUCCAAUCAAAAAGUUUAAUUUUAUUAAAUAAAAUA